RNAcentral lists this ribosomal RNA (498 nucleotides) under uncultured bacterium. Its description in RNAcentral is "partial 16S ribosomal RNA". It matches the Rfam family "Bacterial small subunit ribosomal RNA", at positions 30 to 523 of the family's 1533-position model. The record is from RNAcentral.
AUUGAACGCUGGCGGCAUGCUUUACACAUGCAAGUCGAACGGUAACAGGUCUUCGGAUGCUGACGAGUGGCGAACGGGUGAGUAAUGCAUCGGAACGUGCCCAGUCGUGGGGGAUAACGCAGCGAAAGCUGCGCUAAUACCGCAUACGAUCUAUGGAUGAAAGCGGGGGACCGUAAGGCCUCGCGCGAUUGGGGCGGCCGAUGUCAGAUUAGGUAGUUGGGGGGGUAAAGGCCCACCAAGCCAACGAUCUGUAGCUGGCAUGAGAGGACGACCAGCCACACUGGGACUGAGACACGGCCCAGACUCCUACGGGAGGCAGCAGUGGGGAAUUUUGGACAAUGGGCGCAAGCCUGAUCCAGCAAUGCCGCGUGCAGGAAGAAGGCCUUCGGGUUGUAAACUGCUUUUGUACGGAACGAAACGGCUCUCUCUAAUACAGAGGGCUAAUGACGGUACCGUAAGAAUAAGCACCGGCUAACUACGUGCCAGCCGCCGCCGUAA